AAUCCUGGCUCAGGAUGAACGCUGGCGGCGUGCCUAACACAUGCAAGUCGAGCGAUUCUCUUCGGAGAAGAGCGGCGGACGGGUGAGUAACGCGUGGGUAACCUGCCCUAUACACACGGAUAACAUACCGAAAGGUAUGCUAAUACGGGAUAACAUAAGAGAUUCGCAUGGAUUUCUUAUCAAAGCUGCGGCGGUAUAGGAUGGACCCGCGUCUGAUUAGCUAGUUGGUGAGGUAACGGCUU
Molecule: ribosomal RNA, 242 nt
Filed under: uncultured bacterium
Lineage: Bacteria
Description: partial 16S ribosomal RNA
Rfam family: Bacterial small subunit ribosomal RNA
Source: RNAcentral